GAUGAACGCUGGCGGCGUGCCUAAUACAUGCAAGUCGAGCGAACGGACGAGAAGCUUGCUUCUCUGAUGUUAGCGGCGGACGGGUGAGUAACACGUGGAUAACCUACCUAUAAGACUGGGAUAACUUCGGGAAACCGGAGCUAAUACCGGAUAAUAUUUUGAACCGCAUGGUUAAAAAGUGAAAGACGGUCUUGCUGUCACUUUUAGAUGGAUCCGCGCUGCAUUAGCUAGUUGGUAAGGUAACGGCUUACCAAGGCAACGAUGCAUAGCCGACCUGAGAGGGUGAUCGGCCACACUGUAACUGAGACACGGUACAGACUCCUACGGGAGGCAGCAGUAGGGAAUCUUCCGCAAUGGGCGAAAGCCUGACGGAGCAACGCCGCGUGAGUGAUGAAGGUCUUCUGAUCGUAAAACUCUGUUAUUAGGGAAGAACAUAUGUGUAAGUAACUGUGCACAUCUUGACGGUACCUAAUCAGAAAGCCACGGCUAACUACGUG
This 497-nucleotide ribosomal RNA is filed under the name uncultured bacterium. RNAcentral's name for it is "partial 16S ribosomal RNA". It matches the Rfam family "Bacterial small subunit ribosomal RNA", at positions 28 to 507 of the family's 1533-position model. The record is from RNAcentral.